CGCAAGGUGCUGACGAGUGGCGAACGGGUGAGUAAUGCAUCGGAACGUGCCCAGUCGUGGGGGAUAACGCAGCGAAAGCUGCGCUAAUACCGCAUACGAUCUACGGAUGAAAGCGGGGGACCGUAAGGCCUCGCGCGAUUGGAGCGGCCGAUGUCAGAUUAGGUAGUUGGUGGGGUAAAGGCUCACCAAGCCGACGAUCUGUAGCUGGUCUGAGAGGACGACCAGCCACACUGGAACUGAGACACGGUCCAGACUCCUACGGGAGGCAGCAGUGGGGAAUUUUGGACAAUGGGCGCAAGCCUGAUCCAGCAAUACCGCGUGCAGGAAGAAGGCCUACGGGUUGUAAACUGCUUUUGUACGGAACGAAACGGCGAGCUCUAAUACAGUUUGCUAAUGACGGUACCGUAAGAAUAAGCACCGGCUAACUACGUGCCAGCAGCCGCGGUAAUACGUAGGGUGCAAGCGUUAAUCGGAAUUACUGGGCGUAAAGCGUGCGCAGGCGGUUUUGUAAGACAGUCGUGAAAUCCCCGGGCUCAACCUGGGAAUUGCGAUUGUGACUGCAAAGCUGGAGUGCGGCAGAGGGGGAUGGAAUUCCGCGUGUAGCAGUGAAAUGCGUAGAUAUGCGGAGGAACACCGAUGGCGAAGGCAAUCCCCUGGGCCUGCACUGACGCUCAUGCACGAAAGCGUGGGGAGCAAACAG
Molecule: ribosomal RNA, 700 nt
Filed under: uncultured bacterium
Lineage: Bacteria
Description: bacterial SSU rRNA
Rfam family: Bacterial small subunit ribosomal RNA
Source: RNAcentral